GUAAGUACUAUUUUUACAUCUGAUGACCCACUGUGUGCCAUCCGCCUAUCUACUGGGCUGGAUGCACGUAUACAAAGACAAUAAAGCCAGAACUUCUCUCAAGGUGUUUACAACCUGCUGUUUUUCUCCUUGAGCUCUGGGAGAAGCCAGGUGCCAUGUUGUGAGGACACUGGAGCACCCCUAAGGAGGCCUGUGUUGUGGGAACUGAGGCCUCCUGCCAUCAGCCAGCACCCACUUGCCAGCCAUGUGAAUAAACCAUCUUGGAAGUGGAUCCUCCAGCCCAUUAUGUCCUCAAAUGACAGCAAAUUCAUGAACGACUGUGAGCCAGAACCACCCAGCUAAGUCACUACCAAAUUCUUGACCCACAGAGACUGAGAUAAUACAUAAUAUUUAUUAUUGUUUUAAGCUACUAGGUUUUGGGGGCAUUUUUUACCUAACAAUAGGCAACUAAUAUGGUAGAUGUGUUUUGUACAAUGCUUCGUUACUGAAAUGGCUCUAGAUUUGCAAGUCACUACUUCAGAAUUUGGUUAGUUCCUCUGAAGU
RNAcentral lists this long non-coding RNA (543 nucleotides) under Equus caballus (horse). RNAcentral describes it as "lncRNA (ENSECAG00000047077.1)". Lineage: Eukaryota; Metazoa; Chordata; Mammalia; Perissodactyla; Equidae. The record is from RNAcentral.